This 232-nucleotide ribosomal RNA is filed under the name uncultured bacterium. Its description in RNAcentral is "partial 16S ribosomal RNA". It matches the Rfam family "Bacterial small subunit ribosomal RNA", at positions 15 to 240 of the family's 1533-position model. The record is from RNAcentral.
GAUCAUGGCUCAGGAUGAACGCUAGCGGCAGGCUUAACACAUGCAAGUCGAGGGGCAGCAUAAUGGAUAGCAAUAUCUAUGGUGGCGACCGGCGCACGGGUGCGUAACGCGUAUGCAACCUACCUUUAACAGGGGGAUAACACUGAGAAAUUGGUACUAAUACCUUAUAAUAUCAUAGAAGGCAUCUUUUACGGUUGAAAAUUCCGAUGGUUAGAGAUGGGCAUGCGUUGUA